Molecule: ribosomal RNA, 821 nt
Filed under: uncultured bacterium
Lineage: Bacteria
Description: bacterial SSU rRNA
Rfam family: Bacterial small subunit ribosomal RNA
Source: RNAcentral
AGAGUUUGAUCCUGGCUCAGGACGAAUGCUGGCGGCGUGCCUAAUACAUGCAAGUCGAGCGGAACUUUAAUUGGUGCUUGCACCAAUUAAAGUUUAGCGGCGGACGGGUGAAUAACACGUGGGUAACCUGCCCUACAGACUGGGAUAACUUCGGGAAACCGAGGCUAAUACCGGAUAAUACUUUUUAACACAUGUUAGAAAGUUGAAAGAUGGUUCUGCUAUCACUGUAGGAUGGACCCGCGGCGCAUUAGCUAGUUGGUGAGGUAACGGCUCACCAAGGCAACGAUGCGUAGCCGACCUGAGAGGGUGAUCGGCCACACUGGGACUGAGACACGGCCCAGACUCCUACGGGAGGCAGCAGUAGGGAAUCUUCCACAAUGGGCGAAAGCCUGAUGGAGCAACGCCGCGUGAGUGAAGAAGGAUUUCGGUUCGUAAAACUCUGCUGCAAGGGAAGAACAAGUAGCGUAGUAACUGGCGCUACCUUGACGGUACCUUGUUAGAAAGCCACGGCUAACUACGUGCCAGCAGCCGCGGUAAUACGUAGGUGGCAAGCGUUGUCCGGAAUUAUUGGGCGUAAAGCGCGCGCAGGUGGUUCCUUAAGUCUGAUGUGAAAGCCCACGGCUCAACCGUGGAGGGUCAUUGGAAACUGGGGAACUUGAGUGCAGAAGAGGAUAGUGGAAUUCCAAGUGUAGCGGUGAAAUGCGUAGAGAUUUGGAGGAACACCAGUGGCGAAGGCGACUAUCUGGUCUGUAACUGACACUGAGGCGCGAAAGCGUGGGGAGCAUACAGGAUUAGAUACCCUGGUAGUCCACGCCGUAAAC